Molecule: ribosomal RNA, 494 nt
Filed under: uncultured bacterium
Lineage: Bacteria
Description: partial 16S ribosomal RNA
Rfam family: Bacterial small subunit ribosomal RNA
Source: RNAcentral
GACGAACGCUGGCGGCGUGCUUAACACAUGCAAGUCGAACGGUGAAGCGCCUUCCUUUUUGGUGGGUGUGGAUGAGUGGCGAACGGGUGAGUAACACGUGAGUAACCUGCCCCCUUCUUCUGGAUAACCGCAUGAAAGUGUGGCUAAUACGGGAUAUUCUGGGUCUGUCGCAUGAUGGGUCUGGGAAAGAUAUUGUUUCGGUGGGGGAUGGGCUCGCGGCCUAUCAGCUUGUUGGUGGGGUGAUGGCCUACCAAGGCGGUGAGGGGUAGCCGGCCUGGGAGGGUGGACGAUCCCACUGGGACUGAGACACGGCCAAGACUCCUACGGGAGGCAGCAGUGGGGAAUAUUGCACAGUGGGCGGAAGCCUGAUGCAGCGACGCCGCGGGAGGGAUGGAGGCCUUCGGGUUGUGAACCUCUUUCGCCAGUGAAGCAGGCCUGCCUCGUUUGUGGGUGGGUUGACGGUAGCUGGAGAAGAAGCGCCGGCUAACUACGUG